This 497-nucleotide ribosomal RNA is filed under the name uncultured bacterium. RNAcentral describes it as "partial 16S ribosomal RNA". It matches the Rfam family "Bacterial small subunit ribosomal RNA", at positions 28 to 507 of the family's 1533-position model. The record is from RNAcentral.
GAUGAACGCUGGCGGCGUGCCUAAUACAUGCAAGUCGAGCGAACAGAUAAGGAGCUUGCUCCUUUGACGUUAGCGGCGGACGGGUGAGUAACACGUGGAUAACCUACCUAUAAGACUGGGAUAACUUCGGGAAACCGGAGCUAAUACCGGAUAAAAUAUUGAACCGCAUGGUUCAAUAGUGAAAGGCGGCUUUGCUGUCACUUAUAGAUGGAUCCGCGCCGGAUUAGCUAGUUGGUAAGGUAACGGCUUACCAAGGCAACGAUUGGUAGCCGACCUGAGAGGGGGAUCGGCCACACUGGAACUGAGCACCGGUCCAGAUCCCUACGGGAGGCAGAAGUAGGGAAACUUCCGCAAUGGGCGAAAGCCUGACGGAGCAACGCCGCGUGAGUGAGGAAGGUCUUCGGAUCGUAAAACUCUGUUAUCAGGGAAGAACAAAUGUGUAAGUAACUGUGCACAUCUUGACGGUACCUGAUCAGAAAGCCACGGCUAACUACGUG